AGAUUGAACGCUGGCGGAAUGCUUUACACAUGCAAGUCGAACGGCAGCACGGGGGCAACCCUGGUGGCGAGUGGCGCACGGGUGAGUAAUACAUCGGAACGUAUCCUAGAGUGGGGGGAUAGCCCGGCGAAAGCCGGAUUAAUACCGCAUACGCUCGAAAGAGGAAAGUGGGGGAUCGUAAGACCUCACGCCCAAGGAGCGGCCGAUGCCGGAUUAGCUUGUUGGUGAGGUAAAAGCUCACCAAGGCGACGAUCCGUAGCUGGUCUGAGAGGACGACCAGCCACACUGGGACUGAGACACGGCCCAGACUCCUACGGGAGGCAGCAGGUGGGAAUUUGGACAAGUGGGGGAACCCUGAUCCAGCCAUUCCGCGUGAGUGAAGAACGGCUUACGGGUUGUAAAGCUACUUUCGGCGAGGAACGUAACGGUUGGGCUAAUACCCGAGACC
This 448-nucleotide ribosomal RNA is filed under the name uncultured soil bacterium. RNAcentral describes it as "bacterial SSU rRNA". It matches the Rfam family "Bacterial small subunit ribosomal RNA", at positions 26 to 474 of the family's 1533-position model. The record is from RNAcentral.